Ailuropoda melanoleuca (giant panda) is the source of this 121-nucleotide non-coding RNA. The record is from Rfam. NCBI's taxonomy places the organism in Eukaryota, Metazoa, Chordata, Mammalia, Carnivora, Ursidae.
UCUUGUGGUUCGUGCCACCCUGAACACACCUGAUCUCGUCUGAUCUCUGAAGCUAAGCAGGGCUGGGCCUGGUUAGUACUUGGAUGGGAGACCUCCAUAAAUCUUGACGGCCUUUCAGGGC